This 253-nucleotide ribosomal RNA is filed under the name uncultured bacterium. RNAcentral's name for it is "partial 16S ribosomal RNA". It matches the Rfam family "Bacterial small subunit ribosomal RNA", at positions 524 to 776 of the family's 1533-position model. The record is from RNAcentral.
UACGAGGGGGGCGAGCGUUGUUCGGAAUUAUUGGGCGUAAAGGGUGCGUAGGCGGUUUGGUAAGUCUUAUGUGAAAUCUACAGGCUCAACUUGUAGUCUGCAUGAGAAACUGCCGGGCUUGAGUAUGGGAGAGGUGAGUGGAAUUCCUGGUGUAGCGGUGAAAUGCGUAGAUAUUCGGAGGAACACCAGUGGCGAAGGCGGCUCACUGGUCCGGUACUGACGCUGAGGUGCGAAAGCGUGGGGAGCAAACAGG